UAGCAAAUUCAAAGUAUGUGGAACAGCAUGUCUAAAAUAAAAUGCUACUCCAAUAAAACAAACCAAACUCAUAUCCAAGACUAUUAAUUAUCUAAUAUGGGAAUAGCAGAGUCUAGGAAGCAUAGUGGGACACAUACCUUUGAUGCUCAGAUUUAUCCCUUCCUUAUGUCUCAAGUCCCUCUCAACCACCUCUUCCUAAUAACAAAUCACCGUAUCUUUCGGUGCUUUCUCUCCUCUUUCCC
This 242-nucleotide long non-coding RNA is filed under the name Medicago truncatula (barrel medic). RNAcentral describes it as "long non-coding RNA (MTRU_LNC005866)". The record is from RNAcentral. Lineage: Eukaryota; Viridiplantae; Streptophyta; Magnoliopsida; Fabales; Fabaceae.